AACGAACGCUGGCGGCAGGCUUAACACAUGCAAGUCGAGCGCCCCGCAAGGGGAGCGGCAGACGGGUGAGUAACGCGUGGGAACGUACCUUUUGGUUCGGAACAACUCCGGGAAACUGGAGCUAAUACCGGAUAAGCCCUAACGGGGAAAGAUUUAUCGCCGAAAGAUCGGCCCGCGUCUGAUUAGCUAGUUGGUGAGGUAACGGCUCACCAAGGCGACGAUCAGUAGCUGGUCUGAGAGGAUGAUCAGCCACACUGGGACUGAGACACGGCCCAGACUCCUACGGGAGGCAGCAGUGGGGAAUAUUGGACAAUGGGCGCAAGCCUGAUCCAGCCAUGCCGCGUGAGAGAUGAAGGCCUUAGGGUUGUAAAGCUCUUUUGUCCGGGAAGAUAAUGACUGUACCGGAAGAAUAAGCCCCGGCUAACUUCGUG
This 431-nucleotide ribosomal RNA is filed under the name uncultured bacterium. RNAcentral's name for it is "partial 16S ribosomal RNA". It matches the Rfam family "Bacterial small subunit ribosomal RNA", at positions 29 to 507 of the family's 1533-position model. The record is from RNAcentral.